RNAcentral lists this ribosomal RNA (404 nucleotides) under uncultured bacterium. RNAcentral describes it as "partial 16S ribosomal RNA". It matches the Rfam family "Bacterial small subunit ribosomal RNA", at positions 29 to 526 of the family's 1533-position model. The record is from RNAcentral.
AUUGAACGCUGGCGGCAGGCCUAAUACAUGCAAGUCGAGCGAGCGGCGGACGGGUGCGUAAUGCCUAGGAGUUGCCCAGUCCCGGGGGAUAACAGAUGGCACCGAGUGCCAAUACCGCAUACCACUGGAUUGCCCAGGUGGGAUUAGAGAGUUGGUGAGGUAAUGGCUCACCAAGGUGACGAUCCCUAGCGGGUCUGAGAGGAAGAUCAGCCACACUGGAACUGAGACACGGGCCAUACUCCUACGGGAGGCAGCAGUGGGGAAUAUUGCGCAAUGGGGGAAAGCCUGAUGCAGCAAUGCCGCGUGUGUGAAGAAGGCCUUCGGGUUGUAAAGCACUUUCAGCGGGGAGGCGGUACUCACAGAGGAAGCACCGGCUAACUCCGUGCCAGCAGCCGCGGUAAUUC